RNAcentral lists this ribosomal RNA (367 nucleotides) under uncultured bacterium. RNAcentral's name for it is "bacterial SSU rRNA". It matches the Rfam family "Bacterial small subunit ribosomal RNA", at positions 524 to 898 of the family's 1533-position model. The record is from RNAcentral.
UACAGAGGUGUCAAGCGUUAUCCGGAUUUAUUGGGCGUAAAGGAUGAGUAGGUGGUUCUGAAAGUCUGUAAUGAAAUGCUGUUGCUUAACGACAGUCUGUUACAGAAACUACAGAGCUAGAGACAAGGAGAGGUAAGCGGAAUUCCAUGUGUAGCGGUAAAAUGCGUAGAUAUAUGGAGGAACACCAGUGGCGAAGGCGGCUUACUGGCCUUGAUCUGACACUGAAUCAUGAAAGCGUGGGGAGCAAAUAGGAUUAGAUACCCUAGUAGUCCACGCCGUAAACGUUGAGUACUAAGUGUUGGCGCAAGCCAGUGCUGAAAUUAACAUAUUAAGUACUCCGCCUGAGUAGUACGAUCGCAAGAUUGAA